AGAACAUCUGUAUAAUUAAGACUUAAAAAUGUAUAAGGUCUUAUAUCCGAGUCCAAGAAAGUCAAAAGUCCAUAAUUAGAACAAUUCCCCUCGUACAAGGGAUUGGUUCACAAAAGUUUUACAGGUGCUGGUUUGGUCCUUUUAUUUUUUUUGGGCAGUGCUGGGUAUACAGGCUCAGGACAUUACAGAAUCCUUACAGGGUUCUCACAAGGGGAUGGGGUUAGGAUUUUUUUCUCUAUUUUUUAUUGCAUCGGGGUCCACGUGGAACCAACCCCAUGUCAGGGGUCGGUAAGACCCUAGUAAAAACAACUCUAUACACAAAGCUUUAUCCUAUUCUUUUUUCCUUUUUAAUUAUCUUUCAAUGCAAAAUUGUCGAGUACACUACCUAUAAAAAA
Molecule: long non-coding RNA, 395 nt
Filed under: Olea europaea (common olive)
Lineage: Eukaryota; Viridiplantae; Streptophyta; Magnoliopsida; Lamiales; Oleaceae
Description: long non-coding RNA (OEUR_LNC013889)
Source: RNAcentral